GAUGAAGAACGCAGCGAAAUGCGAUAAGUAAUGUGAAUUGCAGAAUUCAGUGAAUCAUCGAAUCUUUGAACGCACCUUGCGCUCCUUGGUAUUCCGAGGAGCAUGCCUGUUUGAGUGUCAUUAAUAUUAUCAACCUUUUGGGUUGGAUUUGGGUUUGCUGGCCUCUAUCAGGUCAGCUCCCCUUAAAUGCAUUAGCAGACAACAUUUUGCCAAAUGUUCAUUGGUGUGAUAAUUAUCUACGCUAUUGACAUGAAGCAAAGGUUCAGCUUCUAACUGUCCAUUGACUUGGACAACUUUAUUAAUGUGACCUCAAAUCAGGUAGGACUACCCGCUGAACUUAAGCAUAUCAAUAAGCGGAGGA
Molecule: unclassified non-coding RNA, 361 nt
Filed under: soil metagenome
Description: partial contains 5.8S ribosomal RNA, internal transcribed spacer 2, and large subunit ribosomal RNA
Rfam family: 5.8S ribosomal RNA (bases 1-120)
Source: RNAcentral